CCUUUUAUAUUCAACUUUGGUUGAUGUCAAUAAGGAGAUCUUGGGUCUAGGGUUUCAGUGAAUUUGGUUUUCAUUAAGAAAUUUUUUGAAAUAUGAUCUUCCGCUGUGCCACCGUAACCCUACAGUGCUUAGGAUUUAAAAGGAUGGAUGAUGAUAUUUGAUAAAAGUUGAACUUUUGUUACAUCAUACCAUCAUUGAUUGUUGAUAUCAUUUUGCAUAAUUGAUUGAUUUUGAUGAUGUAUCAAUAUUUGUAUUGAUCUUAUGCUAUGUCUUGAAUAUUUUGAAUAUGAUAUUCAUCUUUGCAUUCACAUAUUACUUGAUAUUAUGUAAUUUUAAUUGAUAAUUAAUUAAGAUGUGUGAAUAAAAUUAAGCUUGAUUGAGUAAAAAAUAACUUGUAUAAAAAUCAUAUGAAUUAAUUUUUGACACCCUCAUAAGAUACCUAAUCAUUGACAUCCCCUAAAAAUUGCAUGAUCUAAGAAUUUCAACAUAAGAUGUCUAUUCAUA
RNAcentral lists this long non-coding RNA (504 nucleotides) under Elaeis guineensis (African oil palm). RNAcentral's name for it is "long non-coding RNA (EGUI_LNC053301)". Lineage: Eukaryota; Viridiplantae; Streptophyta; Magnoliopsida; Arecales; Arecaceae. The record is from RNAcentral.